UGCUAAUCUUGUCAUUACUCACAAUAACUCAAAAUAAUGAAAAGUAAUAAUGGAAUAUGAAAAUGUGAAUUAAAAAAAGCUAAUAAUAAUAAAGCAAUAAAUUAUUUUUCAAAGCUGUAUUUUAGCUCAUGUUGUUGUAUGGUUUAAGACAUGACAAAUUACCAAGACUCUGUUUAUUCCAGUGCCUCGACACAGAUCGAAAGACCACCGCUGGAAAGAGAAAUUGGUUGUGAAUGCAGCUUGUGUGUGAGAGAGAGUGAAAGAAGUGAGAAUUUAAAACAAGCAAUGACAUAAAGGGUUAAAAAAGCCAAGAAAUUGCGUCAAGUCUCUUUCCAAAGCGAGAGCUAUUUUUGUCUUUGCUGUGGUUUGAAGGUACCUCAGAGGAACUGUAAAUUAUUCAAAACGGCCGCAACAGGCCCUUGUCAGUGACACUUAGAGUAACCUUUCUUUGUCAGUUGGCGGCAGGUUUUGUUGUUGUGCUGAUCUGUUUUUGAAUGAGAAACCCAUAUUAAAGGAAUCACAGUGUAAAUGUCCGGUUUAAGGCACUGAAAUAGUAUAUUUUCUGCACAGAGCUUGGGUACGGCGUCAUGUCGUGUUCGAUAUGUGUGGCUUUAAUCAUUGCAACGUGUCUGUUCUGAAUCUGCUUUGUAAAUUGCUGCAGCAAUAUGUUACAACAACUGAUGGGGUGUAUCUUUUGGAGUGGGAGACUUUUUACCAUAGUAAAAACUACUGAAGGAUUUGCCACCACUUUGGACGAUUUGUGUGUGUGUGUGUGUGUGUGUGUGUGUGUGUGUGUGUGUGUGUGUGUGUGUGUGCGUAAGCAGAUCUAUCUAAAUGAGGCUGGGUGUGUGUUUCUUUCCAUGUGUGGAUUUGAUGGUGUGUGUGUGUGUGUGUGUUUUGGGGGUCAAGGAGACUGUGUUUGGCUGUUAUCUUCUAUUUGUCUCCUAUCCAUGUUGCCUUCUGCUGAGUCCUAACCAAUGCUUUUGUAGCUGUACGUAAUGUACAAUCUUUGUUGUGAAUUUUCUUUUUUUAUGUGUAGUUUUCAUCAGCCUCACCAUGCCAAUAAAGAGAAUUGUGUCUAAUUUAUUCUUUCCCUCCUUUUUCUUGUGCAUGCAGACUGAAUAUAUUUAGAAGUAGUCGCUCAAAUGUGUGUUUCAGCUACAUUAUGAUUUUAAUGAAGUCUCUUCUGUUCUCCAAGGCUGUAUUUAUGGGCUAAAAAAUACAGUAAAAACUUCAAUAUUGUGAAAUAUUAUUACAAUUUAAAAUGUCUGUUUUCUAUUGUAAUAUAUUGUAAAAUGUAAUUUGUU
Cyprinus carpio carpio is the source of this 1307-nucleotide long non-coding RNA. The record is from Ensembl. Lineage: Eukaryota; Metazoa; Chordata; Actinopteri; Cypriniformes; Cyprinidae.